GAUGAACGCUGGCGGCGUGCUUAACACAUGCAAGUCGAACGGGGAACCUUUUAUUGAAGCUUCGGCAGAUUUAGAUUGUUUCUAGUGGCGGACGGGUGAGUAACACGUGAGUAACCUGCCUUACACAAGGGGAUAGCCGUUGGAAACGACGAAUAAUACCCUAUGAAACUAUCACUUCGCAUGAAGCGAUAGUCAAAGUGUUAGCGGUGUAAGAUGGACUUGCGUCUGAUUAGCUAGUUGGCGAGAAAAAAGCCCACCAAGACAACGAUCAGUAGCCGGCUUGAGAGAGUGUACGGCCACAUUGGGACUGAGACACGGCCCAG
This 323-nucleotide ribosomal RNA is filed under the name uncultured bacterium. RNAcentral's name for it is "bacterial SSU rRNA". It matches the Rfam family "Bacterial small subunit ribosomal RNA", at positions 28 to 334 of the family's 1533-position model. The record is from RNAcentral.